AAGCCCGGGUAGUCAGGAUCUCACGACUACGAUGCGUCCCACGCAUUGAUCCCGCCCAAAGUUCGCAAAGCUUCCGGAGGCGCGAACGAUCGGUGUUUCAAACGCCGAUGGAUGC
This is a non-coding RNA of Pseudomonas syringae pv. pisi str. 1704B, 115 nucleotides long. NCBI's taxonomy places the organism in Bacteria, Pseudomonadati, Pseudomonadota, Gammaproteobacteria, Pseudomonadales, Pseudomonadaceae. The record is from Rfam.